AAAGAGUGACAAACAUCUGGAAUUCCCUUCCACAAGCAGUAGUAGAUGCCAAAACUGUAGGAACAUUCAAGAAUAGACUGGAUUCUCACUGGAAGGAGGAAAAGAUAGGAUACGGGGUCACAAAGGCUAUGCCUAAUUAAAUUACCCAUUACCGCGGUAAUCAUGCAUCCGAAGAUAUUUGGGAGAAAAUGUCCAUCCAACGAUGAUCACCGGCUCUAAAAGUAGUCCAAAAGCCCAUCGCCAUUUUGAAAAAUGAUGCCUGUGCGCUUCGUGGCAAAAUGGAGCGAUCUUAGGGCCCAGUUUCACCCACAUUCCACAUAAACAUAAUUAAGCUACAGUGCGUCUUGUCUAUCUUACCAACCCUCUAAAUUGGACUGUCUGUUGGCUGUGCAGCGAAUCACCGUAGCAGGCGCCUUAUAAUACACACGCGCGCCAACAAACAGGCCAACAGGCCGCAAAGGUUCGUCAACUAUAUCCAAGCGGCUCUUCUAUCCUACAAUCAGCAGCUAUAAGCCAAUGCAUGUACAUGUAUUCCGACUUGCAAGCUAAGAAACUAGCAUAGGGCCUAAGAGAUAUCAAAGUAGGUAACAUCAUAGUAAGUUGCAUAUUUUCAUCUUUUGUCCAAAGUGUCUUGAUCAAGAGAAGCUCAUCAACAUGUGUAUAAUCGUUCCAUGUUUUUUUUUUCUACAAGAAAAUGUAUUAAAGGGGGCAUCAAAAUU
Patiria miniata (bat star) is the source of this 719-nucleotide long non-coding RNA. RefSeq lists it as uncharacterized. The record is from RefSeq and is a predicted model, not a curated record. The transcript is spliced from 2 exons. NCBI's taxonomy places the organism in Eukaryota, Metazoa, Echinodermata, Asteroidea, Valvatida, Asterinidae.